AAAAGCUCAGUUUAGGGUUUAAAACCCUAAUACUGGCUAAAAGGAAAAAGUUCAGUUUAGGGUUUAAAACCCUAAUGCUGACUAAAAGGAAAAUUCAGUUUAGGGUUUAAAACCCUAAUGCUGAUUGCAUGAAAAAGCUCAGUUUAGAGUUUAAAACUCUAAUGCUGGCUGAAAGGGAAAAGUUCAGUUUAGGGUUUAAAAACCUAAUGCUGACUAAAAGGAAAAUUCAGUUUAGGGUUUAAAACCCUAAUGCUGAUUGCAUGGAAAAGCUCAGUUUAGAGUUUAAAACUCUAAUGCUGGCUGGAAGGAAAAUUCAGUUUAGGGUUUAAAACCCUAAUGCUGAUUGCAUGGAAAAGCUCAGUUU
Molecule: long non-coding RNA, 364 nt
Filed under: Nicotiana tabacum (common tobacco)
Lineage: Eukaryota; Viridiplantae; Streptophyta; Magnoliopsida; Solanales; Solanaceae
Description: long non-coding RNA (NTAB_LNC001182)
Source: RNAcentral